GCAGGUUUAAUAAAAUAGACGGUAACAUUUAGCAUAGCUGGUUGCGGUCUCACAGAGGUGUGGAAGGAAUUUGUUAGAUGUGUAAUCACUGUGACUCACUGUCAAGACAAAAGUUUCAGACAUUUAAGGCUUUCAAUGUUAGAAAAGCACAGAGAUCUUUUUUGGCACUGGUUCAGGGAUUCGGAGAUUUACAAUGGAUGGUGUAUAUGGAGAAAGAUAAUGUCUGUUGAGAAAUGAGCUGGUGAGAACUCCGGGUGUCACAGGACCCAGGCCAUCUGCACAAUCUCUCAGAGGAAGACAGUCUCUCAGACGCUCAGUUCUCUGGCACACACAGUGACAGCUGGCUAAGGACAGCUGUGUGAAGAAGAGGGCCCAGGAGAGCAGUGAGAAGUAUGCAGAACAAGAACUCCAGCACAGAUCAGAGGGAUGCUCUCAUGAGAACUCUGCCCAUCAGCAGGCUGGCAUAUGAGAGAAUAUUCAGAAGAGAAAGAGGAAGACGAGGGAAAUGAUUUGAAGAGCAGACGGUGUGAAGGGCAGACGGCAGCUUGAAGUAUCCCCAUUAGACAAUCCCACAUAGUGUGAGCUCAGUUCUGCUACUGAUGCUGUAACGGAGAGCUGAGUGCCACACACUAAAAAUGAGGAAAAUGACACCACAGACACAGGCCAAAUCAUCCAAGGCAUGCUCAUACUCAUUAUCACUAAGGUGUUGUAUUUCUUGAUUUGGAAGCUCCAAGAAAUAUGCAGACAUAUAGCCAUAUCAUCAAGACUACACUGGAGUGAAUUGCAGUGAUUUAAAAUGUGAGAUUCUGAUUUUAGAAUUCACUCAAUUUCCUUAUUUAAAUUCAGUGUCCCUGAAUUGCUUAUGAAGUGAACAACAUGAAGAAUGCCUGUUUAUAAAUGCCAUUUUAAGGAAAAUCAAUAACCAUUAUACGGUUUCUGCUAUCCUUGGCUCUCUGAGAUGAUAUGAAUCUAUUCAUAUAGCAGGUGUUGUGUGAAUCUAAACCUCUGGGGAGGGGAUUAAAUAAAAAAAAUUUCCGAAUCUGAACCAAAUAAGAGAAAAUGAUAUCACUUCUACAAUACAGAAGCCUUUUAUAACACUACUUCCCCAUCAUUUCUUCAGUUUGGCUGUAAGUUGGGUACUACCUAUAGACAAUGAUCUUAUAACAUCCACUGAAUGCAUUACAAGCAGUAAAGCCCAUGUUAUGUGCUACACACAGCACCAAAUUAGAAAGGUGUAAUUUCUGAUGUCUUGGAGGGUGGGCUACAGUGGGGCACAGAGACAAACAGGAGCACAAACAUGUAGACUCGCUGAAGCAAGCAGGAAAACAAGAGGCUUCGUGGGUCACAGUCUCUAGAAGAUCAGACUAAUAAAAGGAAUACAGUUAAAGGGGAUUUGAUGGGUUAUCUUGCUCGGUGUGGUCUGAAUAAGUCAACCAGGGCUAGCUUACACCAGGGAAGCCAGG
This 1463-nucleotide long non-coding RNA is filed under the name Cricetulus griseus (Chinese hamster). RNAcentral's name for it is "lncRNA (ENSCGRG00015031353.1)". Lineage: Eukaryota; Metazoa; Chordata; Mammalia; Rodentia; Cricetidae. The record is from RNAcentral.